Molecule: unclassified non-coding RNA, 387 nt
Filed under: fungal sp.
Lineage: Eukaryota; Fungi
Description: partial internal transcribed spacer region
Rfam family: Eukaryotic small subunit ribosomal RNA (bases 1-46)
Source: RNAcentral
AAGUCGUAACAAGGUUUCCGUAGGUGAACCUGCGGAAGGAUCAUUAACACGUAUCCAACGUUAACCAAAGAGAACUGUUUUCACCCUCCCUUCACGGAGAAUGAGCGGGGUUCGUAGAGGUGUUGAAAGGGAUUGUUUCGGCAGUCAGCCUCUAUCUACUAUUUGUGUGUAAUAGAAAUAUUCGCACAGACGCUGUAUCUUUUGUGGAGAUUAAUCUCGCACAGUGCUCCCCUUUCAUUGAGGGCUGGCGCGGGAACUAUAUUAACCUAUUUCACCUUUUUUGCUAGUUGACUUUUAUAUGUUGUUCUUUGCGCUUGCGCAAGGUUCACACGUUUAAUUAUUUGAACGUUAAAAUUACAACUCUUAGCAAUGGAUAUCUUGGUUCUC